This 321-nucleotide ribosomal RNA is filed under the name uncultured Chloroflexota bacterium. Its description in RNAcentral is "bacterial SSU rRNA". It matches the Rfam family "Bacterial small subunit ribosomal RNA", at positions 28 to 351 of the family's 1533-position model. Lineage: Bacteria; Bacillati; Chloroflexota. The record is from RNAcentral.
GAUGAACGCUGGCGGCGUGCCUAAUACAUGCAAGUCGAACGGAGAUUGUAGCAAUACGGUCUUAGUGGCGAACGGGCGAGUAACGCGUUGAUGACCUGCCCCGAAGUGUGGGAUACCAGUUCGAAAGGAUUGCUAAUACCGCAUGUGAUCAUUGGGUCUAGAAGCCGAUGAUUAAAGGAGAAAUUCGCUUCGGGAGGGAUCUGCGUCCCAUCAGCUAGUUGGUAGGGUAACGGCCUACCAAGGCGACGACGGGUAGGGGACCUGAGAGGGUGGACCCCCGCACUGGCACUGAAACACGGGCCAGACACCUACGGGUGGCAG